CGCGGGAGAGCAAAGGUAGAAUAUUCAUAUAAACGUUUAACCGCGGAGUCCCACUCGCCAGCAAAACUCAGAGUGCCAUUGUCGCUGCUAUGGUCCCCAAACUUGCCAUUGUGCAAGUUAGCAGAGGCCAAACAGGGGUGCAUCUUCCUCUGCACGUAUACUGUAUUAGAAUCAGAAGGGUUUACUGCCAGCGGAAUGUAAUCGAAAGCGGUCAUUGGAGAUAUUUGAGCUACUAAUUUCCAUUCCGCGCUCUCUAGCCUCCAUAUACUUAACUUAUGCUCUAGACUUAUGUUCAUAUACAUAAGAAACCCUUGAGAACUUGUGCAAGGUCUUCUGAAAUCCGCUUUGUU
Arabidopsis thaliana (thale cress) is the source of this 350-nucleotide long non-coding RNA. RefSeq annotates it as other RNA. Lineage: Eukaryota; Viridiplantae; Streptophyta; Magnoliopsida; Brassicales; Brassicaceae. The transcript has a single exon. The record is from RefSeq.